Molecule: ribosomal RNA, 252 nt
Filed under: uncultured bacterium
Lineage: Bacteria
Description: partial 16S ribosomal RNA
Rfam family: Bacterial small subunit ribosomal RNA
Source: RNAcentral
UACGGGGGGGCAAGCGUUGUUCGGAAUUACUGGGCGUAAAGGGCUCGUAGGUGGCCAACUAAGUCACACGUGAAAUCCCUCGGCUUAACCGGGGAACUGCGUGUGAUACUGGAUGGCUUGAGUUUGGGAGAGGGAUGCGGAAUUCCAGGUGUAGCGGUGAAAUGCGUAGAUAUCUGGAGGAACACCGGUGGCGAAGGCGGCCAUCUGGACAGAUACUGACGCUGAGACGCGAAAGCGUGGGGAGCAAACAGG